UCAUACGUGGUGUGUAACAGAACCAUUGGACAGAAUGUUUGGAAGCAAGUUGCUAACCAACAUUCUAUAGAACAGAGUGUAUUCAGUGAUGACUCACAGAUAAAUUACUUCACCCUCACGGACCUCAAACUGGGUGUGCCAUUUGCUGUAGAUUGACUCAACGCUUAACCCUUACAGUCAGACACCAGUCGCCAAGUUAAUCGAUUUCAUUGCCAGACUGAGAAUUCUCCAAGCCUUCUGAAUUUAAUUUAAACUGAUUGCAUACUGAAUGAGUUUGGAGGACCGUAAAGCAAAAGUGCAUCUGCUCCAGAACUGAUCUACCAAAUGUUCAUUGGUUUGUGCUGGUGCGAAGAGCAUUCUGAGUCUAGCGGCCCAGCCCCGGAGGACGUGGUGAUCUACUGUGCGCACACGGGUGUAAACCAGAGUCACCGUGCAGCAACGGGCUGUUUGAUACUCCAAAUUCACAUCCAGGUUACGGUCAGUCACAAGGAUCUACAAUUAGCUGAAUUGUAAAGGUAUACCACUCUGAGUGUCGCUUGUGAGUGACAGAAGACCCAACUCAAACAGCAGGGUCGAGCAGAUAUCUGAAUAGCUGAAGUCCAUCUCUGUCUCCCAAGAGUUAAAUCGACAAACAAAAAAUGGAAUUGAGUCCCACCGAAAGAAUUGAAGAUCUCUGCUGAAACCAGUCACUGUGGACAGGGGGAUUCUACCUCCUCACUGGCCAUUCUGAGACACAUGUCCAAACUCAGAGCUAGGGUUCAAGGCAGCUCAGCAAACCACAUGGGCCAAUGAUGGAACAAGGCAAGCAGUGGUUCUGUUACUGGAAGAACGGGGAAAGGAUGUUGGGGAACUGAAAUCAAGAAAUGUCCAUGAUCACAUACAGAAACUCUACUCUUUUACAUCCUCUCCAACACCAAUUUCGUUACUGAUGUCACAAAUAACAUCUUUUUAUAUUUUGUAUCCAUUAACAUGGGGGUAUAGUUUGUAUUUUGGGCUUUUAUCCUUUGAAUCCUACAUCAAAAUUAAAAGUGAUUUAUGUACCACCA
Molecule: long non-coding RNA, 1046 nt
Organism: Leopardus geoffroyi (Geoffroy's cat)
Lineage: Eukaryota; Metazoa; Chordata; Mammalia; Carnivora; Felidae
Exons: 4
Source: RefSeq, a predicted model, not a curated record